Molecule: non-coding RNA, 2631 nt
Organism: Monodelphis domestica (gray short-tailed opossum)
Lineage: Eukaryota; Metazoa; Chordata; Mammalia; Didelphimorphia; Didelphidae
Source: RefSeq, a predicted model, not a curated record
UCAGGCCAUGUGAUCUCCGCAGCUCAGGCCACAUUCCACUUUGGGCAAGCCAUGAGAAUUCAAUUCCUCCCCCAGGCACCCCCUCUGGAGUGCUCCUACUCAUGUUGAGCUCUCCUUAUAGUUAGUGCUGACUCUGGAAAGUCUUUUAGCCGCCUACCCUCCAGUCGUGGACCCAGCUCUGAGGCUUUGUGGGUAAUCUACAAGUAUGCCCAGCUUUGCUCAAAACAAGUUCUACUGGAAAGAUGGGAACAAACCAGCGAGAGGGAAAGAAGGAGGGACUGCCUCGUAGCCCUGAAAUGCAUGCUGCACUUCCAUCUGUCCACUUGGCCACCUGCUUCUCUCUCAUCGGUGCCAAGUCCUGCCAGCAUCGGCAGGGUCACGUUGGUAGGGAGAGAGAUGUCCGGGGGCAAGUGAGACCUUCGACUCCACUGAAGCAUUCCUCAGCUGAUGGUACUCUUAGAUGAGAUCUUUUAUGUUACUUCUUACCUGCCAUAUGUCAUUGUCUACGAAUGCCCAGCAGGCACUUCUCUGCCCAUCGCUGAAUGCCCUGUGAUCUGCAUUUCUUCAGAGUCUCUUGCAUUCUGUGACUCACAUCAUAUAGCAUCACCAGGAGAAUAUUGGUUUUUAACCAUCUCAUCCUUUGUUUCAAGAGAAGCUCAAGGUAAUCCAAAGCCCUCUUCAGUUUCUCACAAGGAAUACAGCCCACUGCCUUUCUUCCUUAUUCAGGUCUUCACCCAUCUCUGGUAACUGUCCAAAAGAUAUUUACUGAUGUGGACUGUCCAUUAGAGUGUAUCAGAAGUGGACACUAGGCAGGCUUCAUCCACUUGGUUUUUCAUGUGUGAGUGCUAGACUAAAUUGCUUGGGGUGAAUAUGUCUUCCUUUCAUAAGCUUUGUAAUAUUUUGGGGUGGGCAGCUAGGUGGCACAAUGGGCACAGUAUUGGGUCUCUGGUCAGGAAGACUCAUCUUCAUGAGUUCAAAUCUGACCUCAGACACUUUACUAAGCGACAUGACCCUGGGCAAGUCACUUAACUCUGUUGGCCUCCGUUUCCUCAUCUGUAAAAUGAAUUGGAAAAGGAAAUGGCAAACCACUCCAGUAUCUUUGCCAAGAAAAGCCCAAAUGAGAUCAAGACGAGGAGGGCAUGAAUGAAAGAAUUCAACAGGAACAAUAUUCUGUGGUUUAAUACAAUUAGCACAAUGUUACUUGAAAACAGGAGUAUCUGGAAGCCCUCACAACCUAUCGAGAAUCCCUCUUCCAUUUGAUCUCUCUUUGUGUGAAUCACAACAAAAUGGGACAAGUCUUCAGAGAGGCAGGAGUGCCAUCUUACUUGUCUCCUGAGGAAUCUGAAUAGCAGUCAAGAAGUAAGGGUUAGAGCCGAGCACGGAUUGUUAGAAGAUUGGAAAGAGAGUAUGACAAGGCUAUAUGUUGUCACCUUAUUUAACUUCUAGGUGCAGUGCAUUAUGCAAAAUGCCAGACUGGAUGAAUCAAAAGCCAGAAUUGAGGCUGCCAGGAAGAAAUAUCAACAGUCUCAGAUGCACAGAUGACGCCACUCUGAUGGCAGAAAGUGAAGAAGAAUUAAGAAGCCCUUUAAUGAGGGUGAAAAAGGAGAGUACAAAAGUUGGCUUGAAGCUUAACAUUAAAAAAAAACCACUAAGAUUUUGGCUUCACUUUCUGGCAAACAGCAGGAAAGAAAUGGAAGCAGAGUCAGAAUUUAUAUUCUUAGAGUCAAAGAUCACUGUCGAUGGUGACUGCAGCCAUGAAAUAAAACACAUUUGCUCCUUGGAAGGAAAGCUAUAACCAAUUGGACAGCACACUAAAAGAAGAGCCAUCCCCUUGCUCACAAAAGGUCCAUCUAGUCAAAGCCCUGGUUUUUCCAGUAGCAAUGUAUGGGGUGAGAGUUGAAUUGUAAGGAAAAGUGAGCAGCGGCAAAUCCGUUCCUUCACAUUGUGGUGCUGGAGAAGACUUUUGAGAGUCCCUUGGACAUAACAAGGAGAUCAAAUCAGCACUUAAUUAAUUCAGACUCUUCACUAGAAGAUCAUAUCCUGAAGCUGAAGCUUGAAUACUUUGGCCACAUUCAGAGAAGACAAGACUCAUUGGAAAAGAUCCUUGAUACUGGGAAAGACUGAAGACCAAAGGAGAAGGGGACAGCAGAGAUUGCGAUGGAUAUACAGAGUCAUGGGAACAGUGAACAUGAGCUUGGACAGACUUCAGGAGAUAGUGGAACACAGAAAGGCUUGCUGUGCUAUAUAGUCCAUGAGGUCACAAAGAGUCAUACAUGACCCAACAACAAGCUGGACGAAGCUGGUGGACUAACUCAAUGGUGGCGCCAUAUACCUUGGGUGAGUUUGCCAACAGGUGGAUUUGUCAAAGACAAUAAAGUUGCCUCGUGCCUUCUUGUUUUGUGCCUUGUUUGAUGUUUAGAACCAGAGGAUUGCCAAACUUGUCUCUGCUAUUACACCUAUCAAAGUAUUAUAUGAUCAUAACAUAAACAUACAAGAUAUCUUGGAAGGCAAUCUAUUAAGGAAUGUUUUGAUCUAUGAAAUCUAAUACUUUCUACAGUCAUCGAAUAAUAAGCACAAUUCUCUACCUCUAAGGCAGCCAGGUAAGGCAGUGAAUGGAGUGCCAGGCAUAGA